This 98-nucleotide transfer RNA is filed under the name Boseongicola sp. SB0662_bin_57. RNAcentral's name for it is "tRNA-Gly". It matches the Rfam family "tRNA". From Rfam's summary of the family: Transfer RNA (tRNA) molecules are approximately 80 nucleotides in length. Their secondary structure includes four short double-helical elements and three loops (D, anti-codon, and T loops). Further hydrogen bonds mediate the characteristic L-shaped molecular structure. tRNAs have two regions of fundamental functional importance: the anti-codon, which is responsible for specific mRNA codon recognition, and the 3' end, to which the tRNAs corresponding amino acid is attached (by aminoacyl-tRNA synthetases). tRNAs cope with the degeneracy of the genetic code in two manners: having more than one tRNA (with a specific anti-codon) for a particular amino acid; and 'wobble' base-pairing, i.e. permitting non-standard base-pairing at the 3rd anti-codon position. The record is from RNAcentral. Lineage: Bacteria; Pseudomonadati; Pseudomonadota; Alphaproteobacteria; Rhodobacterales; Paracoccaceae.
GCCCUUGUGGCGGAACUGGUAGACGCGCCCGAUUGCCAUUCGGGUGGUUCGCUGCUCCAACAGCGACCGUGCGGGUUCGAAGCCCGCCAAGGGCACCA